This 360-nucleotide long non-coding RNA is filed under the name Populus tremula. RNAcentral describes it as "long non-coding RNA (PTRE_LNC001157)". The record is from RNAcentral. Lineage: Eukaryota; Viridiplantae; Streptophyta; Magnoliopsida; Malpighiales; Salicaceae.
CAGAAGAAAGUGAUGAAAAGUCGAAUUCUGAUGGUGUGACUGACAACACAUCCAUCAACGUUACUGAAGAACCAAGUACUACUGAGCCCAUUACAGAGAAGAAGCUGAAAAGGCGGACUUUUAGGGUUCCCCUGGAGGUAGAAACAAGCUUUCAGUUUUAAAAGUUUUUUCACUUGCAUGCUAGAAAGUUAUAUGGUGGUGAGUUGUGUGUUUCACACCUCUCUUGUUGCUUAUUUCUAUUGUUUAUAUUUAUAGAUUGUUGAGAAGACAGUGGGACCUGGAAUGCCUCUGUCCGAAGAAUAUCUAGCUCAAGCUAAAAGAAAAUUAGAAGAAUUGAACAAAAAGGAUGCAGAGCGAAGA